AAAAUAAUGGCGUAUGAGGAAGAAAUGCGUGUUACAAAUGAGCAUGCACAAAGAUUUGAAUAAUUUAUGGCCUCACAGACGAACCAAGGUUGUCGUGGAUGAUAUGGAGAAGUUAGUGGAUAUGGAAGAGUUGACGAGGACGAGGAGGAAGAGAAAGAUAAUUGAAAUGUUCGAAUAUGAAACUUUGUAUUUUUAAAUUUAAGUUUGGUGGAUAUGGAGACUAUUUAUUUUUAUUUCAACUUUAAUCAUGAAUUUUUUAAUUUUUU
Molecule: long non-coding RNA, 266 nt
Filed under: Lathyrus oleraceus (garden pea)
Lineage: Eukaryota; Viridiplantae; Streptophyta; Magnoliopsida; Fabales; Fabaceae
Description: Pisum sativum (pea) long non-coding RNA (PSAT_LNC013850)
Source: RNAcentral